UACGUAGGGGGCGAGCGUUGUCCGGAAUCAUUGGGCGUAAAGCGCGUGUAGGCGGUCCGGUAAGUCCGCUGUGAAAGUCGAGGGCUCAACCCUCGAAUGCCGGUGGAUACUGUCGGGCUUGAGUACGGGAGAGGCGAGUGGAAUUCCUGGUGUAGCGGUGAAAUGCACAGAUAUCAGGAGGAACACCGAUUGCGAAGGCAGCUCGCUGGAACGUUACUGACGCUGAGACGCGAAAGCGUAGGGAGCAAACAGG
RNAcentral lists this ribosomal RNA (253 nucleotides) under uncultured bacterium. RNAcentral's name for it is "partial 16S ribosomal RNA". It matches the Rfam family "Bacterial small subunit ribosomal RNA", at positions 524 to 776 of the family's 1533-position model. The record is from RNAcentral.